ACUAGGUGAACAAACCUGAUCUGACUAAAGGACAAAAAGACCCCGUAGAGCUUUAGUAAAGAUAAAAACUACUUCUGUUUAACACAUUACAUAUAUAAAAUGCCUUUAUCACACUUUAACUGGGGCGGUUAAGGAAGAUAAAAAUCUUCCUCAGAUAAAAUAGGCCCUCAUGCCACAAAAACCUGAUCCUUUUAUUAAGAUCAAUAAAUAAGCUACCUCGGGGAUAACAGAUUAAUCUUUCUUAAGAGUCCUCAUUGACAGAAAGGUUUGACACCUCGAUGUUGGCUUAGGGUACCCAAAAGGUCAGCAGCAGCCUUUAAAGGUAGGUUUGUUCAACCUUUAAAACCCU
RNAcentral lists this ribosomal RNA (349 nucleotides) under Amphicteis sp. 291 PB. RNAcentral's name for it is "partial 16S ribosomal RNA". It matches the Rfam family "Bacterial large subunit ribosomal RNA", at positions 2049 to 2597 of the family's 2925-position model. Lineage: Eukaryota; Metazoa; Annelida; Polychaeta; Terebellida; Ampharetidae. The record is from RNAcentral.